RNAcentral lists this ribosomal RNA (1503 nucleotides) under Rhodococcus (subgen. Prescottella) equi. RNAcentral's name for it is "Rhodococcus hoagii partial 23S ribosomal RNA". It matches the Rfam family "Bacterial large subunit ribosomal RNA", at positions 1 to 1387 of the family's 2925-position model. Lineage: Bacteria; Bacillati; Actinomycetota; Actinomycetes; Mycobacteriales; Nocardiaceae. The record is from RNAcentral.
ACAGUGGACGCGAGCAUCUUUGUUGUAAGUGUUUAAGAGCGUACGGUGGAUGCCUUGGCACCAGGAGCCGAUGAAGGACGUAGGAGGCUGCGAUAAGCCUCGGGGAGCUGUCAACCGAGCUGAGAUCCGAGGAUGUCCGAAUGGGGAAACCCAGCCACAGUGAUGUGUGGUUACCCGCGCCUGAAUAUAUAGGGCGUGUGGAGGGAACGUGGGGAAGUGAAACAUCUCAGUACCCACAGGAAGAGAAAACAACAUGUGAUUCCGUGAGUAGUGGCGAGCGAAAGCGGAAGAGGCUAAACCAUGGGUGUGUGAUAGCCGGCGGGCGUUGCAUUCGUGGGGUUGUGGGAUCCGUCUUGUCAAUUCUGCCGGAUUGGCCGACAGUGAGAAAUCAUCGUGUUAGUCGAAGUGGUCUGGAACGGCCUGUCGUAGAGGGUGAGAGUCCCGUAGACGAAAACAUGGUGACUGUCGUGACGGACACCCGAGUAGCAGCGGGCCCGUGAAAUCUGCUGUGAAUCUGUCGGGACCACCCGAUAAGCCUGAAUACUCCCUGGUGACCGAUAGCGGACUAGUACCGUGAGGGAAAGGUGAAAAGUACCCCGGGAGGGGAGUGAAAUAGUACCUGAAACCGUGCGCUUACAAUCCGUCAGAGCCUGCGCCACUUUUGGUGGGUGGGUGAUGGCGUGCCUUUUGAAGAAUGAGCCUGCGAGUUAGCGGCAUGUCGCGAGGUUAACCCGUGUGGGGUAGCCGUAGCGAAAGCGAGUCCGAAUAGGGCGUUUGUAGUGGCAUGUUCUAGACCCGAAGCGGAGUGAUCUACCCAUGGCCAGGGUGAAGCGACGGUAAGACGUCGUGGAGGCCCGAACCCACUUAGGUUGAAAACUGAGGGGAUGAGCUGUGGGUAGGGGUGAAAGGCCAAUCAAACUCCGUGAUAGCUGGUUCUCCCCGAAAUGCAUUUAGGUGCAGCGUCGCGUGUUUCACUCUGGAGGUAGAGCUACUGGAUGGCCGAUGGGCCCCACAAGGUUACUGACGUCAGCCAAACUCCGAAUGCCAGAGUGUGAGAGCGCGGCAGUGAGACUGCGGGGGAUAAGCUUCGUAGUCGAGAGGGAAACAGCCCAGAUCGCCGGCUAAGGCCCCUAAGCGUGUACUAAGUGGAAAAGGAUGUGGGGUCGCGAAGACAACCAGGAGGUUGGCUUAGAAGCAGCCACCCUUGAAAGAGUGCGUAAUAGCUCACUGGUCAAGUGAUCCUGCGCCGACAAUGUAGCGGGGCUCAAGUACACCGCCGAAGCCGCGGCAUUCACAUAACACCAUGCGGGUCUACGGGCCUGUGUGCAGUGGUGUGGAUGGUAGUAGGGGAGCGUCGUGCAGCCAUGGAAGCGCCGGAGUGAUCCAGGUGUGGAGGCUGCACGAGUGAGAAUGCAGGCAUGAGUAGCGAAAGACGAGUGAGAAACUCGUCCGCCGAAUGACCAAGGGUUCCUGGGCCAGGUUAAUCCGCCCAGGGUGAGUCGG